UGGUGUUAAGAAAUCCAUUUGGAUCAUGUA
This 30-nucleotide non-coding RNA is filed under the name Mus musculus (house mouse). The record is from RNAcentral. Lineage: Eukaryota; Metazoa; Chordata; Mammalia; Rodentia; Muridae.